UACGUAGGGGGCAAGCGUUGUUCGGAAUUACUAGGCGUAAAGGGCGCGUAGGCGGCACGGCAAGUCAGGAGUGAAAGGCCUGGGCUCAACCGAGGAACUGCUUUUGAGACUGCCGAGCUAGGGUGCAGAAGGGGCAACUGGAAUUCCCAGUGUAGCGGUGAAAUGCGUAGAUAUUGGGAAGAACACCUGAGGCGAAGGCGGGUUGCUGGGCUGACACUGACGCUGAGGCGCGAAAGCCAGGGGAGCAAACGGG
This 253-nucleotide ribosomal RNA is filed under the name uncultured bacterium. RNAcentral's name for it is "partial 16S ribosomal RNA". It matches the Rfam family "Bacterial small subunit ribosomal RNA", at positions 524 to 776 of the family's 1533-position model. The record is from RNAcentral.